GAAUGUUGUCCUUGUGGUUGUUGGGCACUGUCGUCCAGGCGAUGCUGACAGGGAGGAAGGCCAUGAAGGCUUUUGCUGAAGAUGAUGCUAAAGAGGUUGGCCUCUAGGGAAAUCAGCUGUGCAGAUCAACCGAAAAAAGUAGAAAUGACGUCUACUUAAAAUGAUGUUCUUGUGCACAAAUCCUUGAAAACCAACAUGCACCUGCAGCAGACAAUUUGGAAGGAAAAUGGAAGUUGUAACUGACUUCAUUAAAACCUGUGUGGAUGAGUGUGUGCCUACAAAGACUUACUGUACAUUCCCAAACCAAAGCUGUGGGUGAACCAGGAAGUAAGUCGUCUUCUGAAGGCUAGAUCUGUGGCAUUCAAAUCUGGCGACCCAGGCCUGUAGCAGAAAACCAGGAGGGCAAUUUCAAGGACAAAGAGACAAUUUCAAAUGAGGUUGGAGGCGACAUCAGAUGUACGGCAACUCUGGCAGUGUGAGCAAAACAUUACAUCCUACAAAGCGAAACCCAGUAGUAUGAAUGGCAGUGAUGUUUCACCACCAGAUGAACUCAACAUCUUCUAUGCCCACUUUGAAAGGGAGUGAAAAUCAUUGCUGCACCUGAUGACCCAGUGAUCUCUGUCUCUGAGGCUAUUGUUAGGCUCUCUUUAAAGGGAGUGAACCUUCGUGAGGCGGAAGGUCCCAAUGACCUUCAGAGACCUGAUAAGUCUCUGAAAACUUGUGCAAACAAACUGGCAGGAGUAUUCAAGGACAUUUUCAACCUCUCACAGCUACAGGCAGAAGUUCCCACUUGCUUCAAAAAGGCAACAAUUAUACCAGUGCCUAGCAAGAAUAAUGUGAGCUGCCUUAAUGACUAUUGCCCGGUAGCACUCACAUCUACAGUGAUGAAAUGCUUUGAGAGGUUCGUCAUGACUAGUCUGAACUCCUGCCUCAGCAAGGACCUGGACCCGUUGCAAAUUGCCUAUCACCACAAUAGGUCAAUGGCAGACGCAAUCUCAAUGGCGCUUCGCAUGGCUUUAGACCAUCUCGGCAACACAAACACCUAUGUUAGGAUGCUAUUCAUUGACCUAUAGUCAACGUAAAUACUGACCUAAAUACUCAGCAUUUAAUACCAUCAUUCCCACAAUCCUGAUUGAAAAGAUGCAGAACCUGGGCCUCUGUACCUCCCUCUGCAAUUGGAUUCUUGACUUCCUAACCAGAAGACCACAAUCUGUGCAGACUGGUGAUAACAUCUUCUCCUCACUGACGAUCAACACUAGUGCACCUCAGCGGUGUGUGCUUAUCCUACUGCUCUACUCUCUAUAUACACAUGACUGUGCGGCUAGGCAUAGCUCAAAUACCAUCUAUAAAUUUGUUGACGAUACAACCAUUGUUGGUAGAAUCUCAGGUGGUGACAAGUGGGCAUACAGGAGUAAGGUAUGCCAACUAGUGGAGUGAUGUCUCAGCAACAACCUGGCACUCAACGUCAGCAAACAUGAAGGAGAUGAUUGUGGACUUCAGGAAAGAGUUCAAUUGCAUCUUUCCUACAGCAGGAUGGCCAAAACUGAACAAGUACGAGUAGGAACCACAAGGAGGCAUGCCAACUUGAGCCUGGAGUUUGAGGUCCGGUCAUUGGCUAGUCUGGGAGUUGAUAUUAAAAAUCGAAGACAGUAGGUUGAUCAGAAGCCCAGAAUUCAAAGCCCAGCUGCUAAAGCCUGGAGAAUGGAAGCCCAGAGAUCCUGUCCUGGAUUUGGAGAACUGCCUUCAUAGAAACAUAGAAAACCUACAGCACAAUACAGG
Long non-coding RNA from Hypanus sabinus (Atlantic stingray), 1779 nucleotides. RefSeq lists it as uncharacterized. Lineage: Eukaryota; Metazoa; Chordata; Chondrichthyes; Myliobatiformes; Dasyatidae. The record is from RefSeq and is a predicted model, not a curated record. The transcript has 3 exons.